This 495-nucleotide ribosomal RNA is filed under the name uncultured bacterium. RNAcentral's name for it is "bacterial SSU rRNA". It matches the Rfam family "Bacterial small subunit ribosomal RNA", at positions 28 to 523 of the family's 1533-position model. The record is from RNAcentral.
GAUGAACGCUAGCGGGAGGCUUAACACAUGCAAGUCGAGGGGUAAAUGGUAGCAAUACUAUGAGACCGGCGGACGGGUGCGUAACGCGUAUGCAACAUACCUUGUGCAGGGGGAUAGCCCGUGGAAACGCGGAUUAAUAUUCCAUAGUCCAGCUAUAUCGCAUGGUAUAGUUGGUAAAGAUUUAUCGGCACAAGUUUGGCAUGCGUCUGAUUAGCUUGUUGGUAGGGUAACGGCCUACCAAGGCUACGAUCAGUAGGGGUUCUGAGAGGAUUAACCCCCACACUGGUACUGAGACACGGACCAGACUCCUACGGGAGGCAGCAGUGAGGAAUAUUGGUCAAUGGGCGGAAGCCUGAACCAGCCAUCCCGCGUGAAGGAAGACAGCCUUACGGGUUGUAAACUUCUUUUCUGUCAGAAGAAUAAGCUUGUCGAGACGAGUGAUGCCGGUAUGACAGGAAUAAGCAUCGGCUAACUCCGUGCCAGCAGCCGCGGUAA